RNAcentral lists this long non-coding RNA (1421 nucleotides) under Sus scrofa (pig). Its description in RNAcentral is "lncRNA (ENSSSCG00025019120.1)". Lineage: Eukaryota; Metazoa; Chordata; Mammalia; Artiodactyla; Suidae. The record is from RNAcentral.
GCUGAUAGGUCCUCACCCCACGCUUGGCAAAUGCCAAGGGCCCGUCCCUGCAAACAAAGAACCAAGGUCAGUGGGUCAGGGAGGGAGGAAGAGCCUCCCUGAAACUGCCCCAGCUCCGCCCCUGGAUAGUGGGGGGCCAGGUCCACAAAGCUCCCGCCCCCGAAAAGACAGAGGUAACCGGCUCCCGGGAAGCAAGCGGCUGCCUGCCUGCCGGGGGCACAGAGGAGCUGCUGCCGGCUUGGCCUGGCGGGUCCGCACCUGAUGGGUCAGUAAUCCGGAGGGUGAGCCCCCUUCGUCUGUUCCUCAGAGAACAGGGCCACCCUUUCUGGCUUCACGGUAGCAGGAAGGCGUUCUGGGCCAGGUCUGGAUUGACAGCAGCUGCCUGGGGGUUAGGUUGAAGGCAGAACACUGAUUUCAGGCCAGGUCCUCUCUGCCGAGGAGGCAGUAGAAUUUUCUGGAAGCUUCUGAAUGCAGGUCCCAGGCCGGCUCUGCAGGCCGAAGAGUGCUGGGCACCCGGAGCUGGGACGCAGGUGGGCUGCCGUGGGGCACAGCCAGGGCAUUCUCUGCAGCAGCCGGCUGUUAGGGGGAAGCCGAACCAAAGGGGGGGGGUUCCUGGGCCCCGGGCCUGGGCCCUGCUCCUGGGUCCUCCCCAGGUGGGCUCUGGGGCCUCCGCUGAGCCCCCAGGUCAGGGUCAGGGCGUGGCAUCCUGUGCAAAGAGCUGGGGGGUCCUAACUGCGAGGCGCCCCCGCCCCCGCAUGGGCCCAGCCAGCUGGACACCAUCAGGCUCCCUGCCCGCGUCUCCCGAGCCCAGCUGCAGGUGCGCACGAGCAGACCCAGGUGGGCGAGAAGCCCAGCCUCGCUUGCUGCCUCUGAACCACCAGCCCUCACGUGGUGACGUGGCUCCGGGCGAAGCGUGGGAGGCGCCACGGGAAGCUGCCAGGAGAGGGGUCUUGCAGACUCCCGGCUGCCCGCAGCACACAGGAUGCCCUCCGAGGGGACCGUGGGGCACUAGUGGGAACAGGCCCUGGGGUGAGGCACCUGCUCGUUGCUCUGGAGACCGUCCCCUGGCUGCCUUGCAGGUAGGGGUGAUGGGCGGGGGUCCCGAAGCUGCCACAGCACUGGGGGGGGGGGGGGCUGAGACGACAGCCUCUGGGGCAUGGGGCCCAGGGCACCCGGCUGCAGCUGACAGGGUGACAAGGAGGGGGUGUCCCCUGAUUCUUAAUGCCUCGGUCACCCGUGUUGCCUUCCCUUUCAGCCAAGUGACCGCUGGCCCAGGGACAUGCCUUGGCCCUGGGGGAGAGUGCUUGUGGCCCAGGAGCUGCUGCGUGUGGGUGUCAUUUCAGCAGCUCUUGUCCCAGGAGGCUCCUCCAGAGGUCCCAGGGGAUGUUCUCCCGUCACCUGGCUCAGACACAGUCACCUGA